This is a long non-coding RNA of Pipra filicauda (Wire-tailed manakin), 183 nucleotides long. RefSeq lists it as uncharacterized. Lineage: Eukaryota; Metazoa; Chordata; Aves; Passeriformes; Pipridae. The record is from RefSeq and is a predicted model, not a curated record. The transcript has 2 exons.
GAACUCAUCACCAGCCACACUGUCUCCAGUAUGACAGGCCAACAUACAGGCUGGAACACAUCAAUACCAAGUCCCAUUUCUGAGGUUAUGCUUCCAACAGUGCAGUGUCCUGAAGAACACUGAAGGCAGACACUAAUAAAUUUAAGAGAAUAAAUAAAGCUUCCACCAGCUUCAAAGCCACAA